UAGGGAAUCUUCGGCAAUGGACGAAAGUCUGACCGAGCAACGCCGCGUGAGUGAAGAAGGUUUUCGGAUCGUAAAACUCUGUUGUUAGAGAAGAACAAGGACGUUAGUAACUGAACGUCCCCUGACGGUAUCUAACCAGAAAGCCACGGCUAACUACGUGCCAGCAGCCGCGGUAAUACGUAGGUGGCAAGCGUUGUCCGGAUUUAUUGGGCGUAAAGCGAGCGCAGGCGGUUUCUUAAGUCUGAUGUGAAAGCCCCCGGCUCAACCGGGGAGGGUCAUUGGAAACUGGGAAACUUGAGUGCAGAAGAGGAGAGUGGAAUUCCAUGUGUAGCGGUGAAAUGCGUAGAUAUAUGGAGGAACACCAGUGGCGAAGGCGGCUCUCUGGUCUGUAACUGACGCUGAGGCUCGAAAGCGUGGGGAGCAAACAGG
RNAcentral lists this ribosomal RNA (429 nucleotides) under Chloroflexota bacterium. Its description in RNAcentral is "Chloroflexi bacterium partial 16S ribosomal RNA". It matches the Rfam family "Bacterial small subunit ribosomal RNA", at positions 355 to 776 of the family's 1533-position model. The record is from RNAcentral. RNAcentral also lists the same sequence under 1 other name. Lineage: Bacteria; Bacillati; Chloroflexota.